RNAcentral lists this ribosomal RNA (896 nucleotides) under Shigella flexneri. RNAcentral describes it as "partial 23S ribosomal RNA". It matches the Rfam family "Bacterial large subunit ribosomal RNA", at positions 2045 to 2925 of the family's 2925-position model. Lineage: Bacteria; Pseudomonadati; Pseudomonadota; Gammaproteobacteria; Enterobacterales; Enterobacteriaceae. The record is from RNAcentral.
CUCGCUGUGAAGAUGCAGUGUACCCGCGGCAAGACGGAAAGACCCCGUGAACCUUUACUAUAGCUUGACACUGAACAUUGAGCCUUGAUGUGUAGGAUAGGUGGGAGGCUUUGAAGUGUGGACGCCAGUCUGCAUGGAGCCGACCUUGAAAUACCACCCUUUAAUGUUUGAUGUUCUAACGUGGACCCGUGAUCCGGGUUGCGGACAGUGUCUGGUGGGUAGUUUGACUGGGGCGGUCUCCUCCUAAAGAGUAACGGAGGAGCACGAAGGUUGGCUAAUCCUGGUCGGACAUCAGGAGGUUAGUGCAAUGGCAUAAGCCAGCUUGACUGCGAGCGUGACGGCGCGAGCAGGUGCGAAAGCAGGUCAUAGUGAUCCGGUGGUUCUGAAUGGAAGGGCCAUCGCUCAACGGAUAAAAGGUACUCCGGGGAUAACAGGCUGAUACCGCCCAAGAGUUCAUAUCGACGGCGGUGUUUGGCACCUCGAUGUCGGCUCAUCACAUCCUGGGGCUGAAGUAGGUCCCAAGGGUAUGGCUGUUCGCCAUUUAAAGUGGUACGCGAGCUGGGUUUAGAACGUCGUGAGACAGUUCGGUCCCUAUCUGCCGUGGGCGCUGGAGAACUGAGGGGGGCUGCUCCUAGUACGAGAGGACCGGAGUGGACGCAUCACUGGUGUUCGGGUUGUCAUGCCAAUGGCACUGCCCGGUAGCUAAAUGCGGAAGAGAUAAGUGCUGAAAGCAUCUAAGCACGAAACUUGCCCCGAGAUGAGUUCUCCCUGACCCUUUAAGGGUCCUGAAGGAACGUUGAAGACGACGACGUUGAUAGGCCGGGUGUGUAAGCGCAGCGAUGCGUUGAGCUAACCGGUACUAAUGAACCGUGAGGCUUAACCUUACAACGCCGAAG